Molecule: long non-coding RNA, 519 nt
Organism: Thunnus maccoyii (southern bluefin tuna)
Lineage: Eukaryota; Metazoa; Chordata; Actinopteri; Scombriformes; Scombridae
Exons: 4
Source: RefSeq, a predicted model, not a curated record
ACAUCCGGGGGACAUUUUCUGCAGCAGUGUCCACCCCUAGGAAGCAUGCUCUCUGUAGUUAAACCAGUCUUACUCGAAAUAUUUGCAUUUAACAUGUCCAUAUCAAAAUAUUUGCAUUUAACACGUCUGAAAAUCUUAACGUGCAUAAUUUCCAGUAAUUAUAAUGAUAGAUGACUUGAUUUCGCUGAUAAAUUGUCGGUUUGAGGAAACACAUGUCUGAGUAGUGUGACUAGGCCGCAUGGGGCGAGGGAAAUGUGGAGGCCCAGUGAUGGAAAUGGGAUUAUUCUAAGUUUUUUGAAGUGGUUGAAUACCCACACGUGGACAGAGGGUGGUGUACUUUCCACUGCAUGACAGAACUGAAUUUUGUGUGGAUGGAUCCCCUGGAGAAACAAAAUAGGACGCCUGUGAAAUGGACGUGGCCACUGUAAAGGUGACAUCAUGGCUCAUUAAUUAACAUUCCUUCAUGUUCCUUUUAUACUUAUUUUGAACUGAUGAAUAAAGCUUUUGUCAACAAGCUUA